This 253-nucleotide ribosomal RNA is filed under the name uncultured bacterium. RNAcentral's name for it is "partial 16S ribosomal RNA". It matches the Rfam family "Bacterial small subunit ribosomal RNA", at positions 524 to 776 of the family's 1533-position model. The record is from RNAcentral.
UACAGAGGUCCCAAGCGUUGUUCGGAUUCAUUGGGCGUAAAGGGUGCGUAGGCGGCGCGGUAAGUCGGGUGUGAAAUCUCGGAGCUUAACUCCGAAACUGCAUUCGAUACUGCCGUGCUUGAGGACUGGAGAGGAGACUGGAAUUUACGGUGUAGCGGCGAAAUGCGUAGAUAUCGUAAGGAAGACCAGUGGCGAAGGCGGGUCUCUGGACAGUUCCUGACGCUGAGGCACGAAGGCCAGGGGAGCAAACGGG